AGCAGCCGCGGUAAUUCCAGCUCCAAUAGCGUAUAUUAAAGUUGUUGCAGUUAAAAAGCUCGUAGUUGAAUUUCGGGAUCAAUUUGUUGGUCGUGCCUCGGUACGUACUGGCAUUAUUGGUUUCUACCUUCUGAAGAACCUUGAUGUCAUUAAUUUGGUGUCUUGGGGAAUCAGGACUGUUACUUUGAAAAAAUUAGAGUGUUUAAAGCAGGCAUACGCUUGAAUACAUUAGCAUGGAAUAAUGAAAUAGGGCGUUUGAUUCUAUUUUGUUGGUUUCUAGGAUCGACGUAAUGAUUAAUAGGGAUAGUUGGGGGUAUUAGUAUUCAAUUGUCAGAGGUGAAAUUCUUGGAUUUAUUGAAGACUAACUACUGCGAAAGCAUUUGCCAAGGAUGUUUUCAUUAAUCAAGAACGGAAGUUAGGGGAUCGAAGACGAUCAGAUACCGUCGUAGUCUUAACCAUAAACUAUGCCGACUAGGGAUCGGAUGAUGUUAUUUUUAAUGACUCAUUCGGCGCCUUACGG
RNAcentral lists this ribosomal RNA (520 nucleotides) under uncultured Glomus. RNAcentral's name for it is "SSU rRNA". It matches the Rfam family "Eukaryotic small subunit ribosomal RNA", at positions 569 to 1093 of the family's 1831-position model. The record is from RNAcentral. Lineage: Eukaryota; Fungi; Glomeromycota; Glomeromycetes; Glomerales; Glomeraceae.